GACAGAGGGUGCUAGCGUUGUUCGGAAUUACUGGGCGUAAAGCGCACGUAGGCGGCUUUGUAAGUAAGAGGUGAAAGCCUGGAGCUCAACUCCAGAAUUGCCUUUUAGACUGCAUCGCUUGAAUCAUGGAGAGGUGAGUGGAAUUCCCGGUGUAGUGGUGAAAUGCGUAGAUAUCGGGAGGAACACCAGUGGCGAAGGCGGCUACCUGGACCAGCACUGACACUGAGGCACGAAAGCGUGGGGAGCAAACAGG
This 253-nucleotide ribosomal RNA is filed under the name uncultured bacterium. RNAcentral's name for it is "partial 16S ribosomal RNA". It matches the Rfam family "Bacterial small subunit ribosomal RNA", at positions 524 to 776 of the family's 1533-position model. The record is from RNAcentral.